CCUACGAGAGGCAGCAGUGAGGAAUCUUGGUCAAUGGACGCAAGUCUGAACCAGCCAUGCCGCGUGCAGGAAGACGGUUCUAUGAGUUGUAAACUGCUUUUGUACGAGGGUAAACGCAGAUACGCGUAUCUGUCUGAAAGUAUCGUACGAAUAAGGAUCGGCUAACUCCGUGCCAGCAGCCGCGGUAAUCCGGAGGAUUCAAGCGUUCUCCGGAUUUAUUGGGUUUAAAGGGUGCGUAGGCGGUCGGAUAAGUUAGAGGUGAAAUCCCGAGGCUCAACUUCGGAAUUGCCUCUGAUACUGUUCGGCUAGAGAGUAGUUGCGGUAGGCGGAAUGUAUGGUGUAGCGGUGAAAUGCUUAGAGAUCAUACAGAACACCGAUUGCGAAGGCAGCUUACCAAGCUACUUCUGACGUUGAGGCACGAAAGCGUGGGGAGCAAACAGGAUUAGAUACCCGAGUAGUC
This 460-nucleotide ribosomal RNA is filed under the name uncultured bacterium. RNAcentral's name for it is "partial 16S ribosomal RNA". It matches the Rfam family "Bacterial small subunit ribosomal RNA", at positions 338 to 795 of the family's 1533-position model. The record is from RNAcentral.